This 68-nucleotide transfer RNA is filed under the name Trichys fasciculata (long-tailed porcupine). RNAcentral describes it as "tRNA-Asp". Lineage: Eukaryota; Metazoa; Chordata; Mammalia; Rodentia; Hystricidae. The record is from RNAcentral.
GAGAUAUUAGUAAAAAUAUUACAUAACUUUGUCAAAGUUAAAUUAUUGAUUAAUGCUCAAUAUAUCUU